AAGUCUUUUAAACUAGUCCAGAGAGACUGGGAAAGAUAUCUCAUAGCUAAUGAAUAGAGUUAUGUAUAGAUAAAAUCCUUAUGCCUCUUUUGGUGUGAGGAUUUUUUUAU
This is a regulatory RNA element of 110 nucleotides. It matches the Rfam family "PyrR binding site". From Rfam's summary of the family: This family represents the PyrR binding site and terminator structure. This RNA structure is found upstream of a variety of genes involved in pyrimidine biosynthesis and transport. The alignment also includes a portion of the antiterminator structure. The record is from Rfam.